GCUGGUGUAGCUCAGUUGGUAGAGCAGCUGAUUUGUAAUCAGCAGGUCGGGGGUUCAAGCCCCUCCACCAGCU
RNAcentral lists this transfer RNA (73 nucleotides) under [Candidatus Thermochlorobacteriaceae] bacterium GBChlB. RNAcentral's name for it is "Candidatus Thermochlorobacteriaceae bacterium GBChlB tRNA-Thr". It matches the Rfam family "tRNA". From Rfam's summary of the family: Transfer RNA (tRNA) molecules are approximately 80 nucleotides in length. Their secondary structure includes four short double-helical elements and three loops (D, anti-codon, and T loops). Lineage: Bacteria; Pseudomonadati; Chlorobiota; Chlorobiia; Chlorobiales; Chloroherpetonaceae. The record is from RNAcentral. RNAcentral also lists the same sequence under 1 other name.